AUGUCUGUAGUUGAAUAUUACAACGUUAAAUUGCAAAUUUAAGGGUGUGAUGAGGCCCAUCACUAGGCGUU
RNAcentral lists this transfer RNA (71 nucleotides) under Diodora graeca. Its description in RNAcentral is "tRNA-Cys". The record is from RNAcentral. Lineage: Eukaryota; Metazoa; Mollusca; Gastropoda; Lepetellida; Fissurellidae.